This 424-nucleotide long non-coding RNA is filed under the name Elaeis guineensis (African oil palm). RNAcentral's name for it is "long non-coding RNA (EGUI_LNC049676)". Lineage: Eukaryota; Viridiplantae; Streptophyta; Magnoliopsida; Arecales; Arecaceae. The record is from RNAcentral.
CCCUGUCGAUAUAAGCUAGUGCCAAGAGGGGAGACAUGUAGAUAUGCAACUUUUAUUUAAAAUAAAGUUAUCGGUAAUACAUUCGUAAGUUUUUCGAGCUCCAUGGUCGUGGGAGGUCUGCUCCUCCGAGUUCCUUGAGGUAAUAAGUUUCGGGUCGGACUACUUCUUUGACCUCAUACGGGCCUUCCCAGUUUGGGGCGAGCUUCCCUCGAUCCUGAGGUUGCGAGAUAGCAGCUCGUCGAAGUACUAGAUCUCCCGCUCUAAAGGCUUUAUUCUUGACCCGAGAAUUGUAAUAGCGGGCGACUUUCUGUCUGUAGGCUGCCAUCCGAACUUGAGCUACCUCCCGCUUUUCUUCCAGUAAGUCAAGGUUGGCUUUAAGACCUUGCGAGUUAUGAUGUUCGUUGAAUGCCACGACUCGUGCCGA